This 458-nucleotide ribosomal RNA is filed under the name uncultured bacterium. RNAcentral's name for it is "bacterial SSU rRNA". It matches the Rfam family "Bacterial small subunit ribosomal RNA", at positions 340 to 786 of the family's 1533-position model. The record is from RNAcentral.
UACGGAAGGCAGCAGUGGGGAAUAUUGCACAAUGGGCGCAAGCCUGAUGCAGCCAUGCCGCGUGUAUGAAGAAGGCCUUCGGGUUGUAAAGUACUUUCAGUCGUGAGGAAGGUGUUAAGGUUAAUAACCUUAGCAAUUGACGUUAGCGACAGAAGAAGCACCGGCUAACUCCGUGCCAGCAGCCGCGGUAAUACGGAGGGUGCGAGCGUUAAUCGGAAUUACUGGGCGUAAAGGGCACGCAGGCGGUUAAUUAAGUUGGAUGUGAAAUCCCCGGGCUUAACCUGGGAAUGGCAUUCAAGACUGGUUAGCUAGAGUCUUGUAGAGGGGGUAGAAUUCCAUGUGUAGCGGUGAAAUGCGUAGAGAUGUGGAGGAAUACCGGUGGCGAAAGGCGGCCCCUGGGACAAAGGACUGACGCUCAUGUGCGAAAAGCGUGGGGAGCAAAACAGGGAUUAGAUACC